This 965-nucleotide long non-coding RNA is filed under the name Nicotiana tabacum (common tobacco). Its description in RNAcentral is "long non-coding RNA (NTAB_LNC016952)". Lineage: Eukaryota; Viridiplantae; Streptophyta; Magnoliopsida; Solanales; Solanaceae. The record is from RNAcentral.
AAGCGGCAAGAUGAAGGCGCCACAAGGUAAGGCAUGUUAUGGAAGGACUGAGCUACGCUGCUGGCCAAAGAUUCAACAGCCAGCCCUUUGUCAUCUUCUUGUUCCAAGAAUUCCUCCGCACGGUGCUUGAGAGUCUCGAACAUGAGCUCGGGCUCGUGCUGCAUCGCUCGGAGCACAUCAGCGCAAGACGGGCCAGGGACGGAGCGAGUCAUGGCAAAGCUGUGAGCGCUAUCGCUCUGCACCACGCGCACGACACUUGGUCCACCAAACAGGUUGUGGAGUCCUCCGAGCGCCUCCUCAUAAGCCCCACCCAAAAACAUCCCCAGAUAAUAACCACCACCAUCGCCAUUACUUCCCAAUUCAUGUAGCGGCAAGCUUGAUUCGCCACCAAUGAACUUAUCAACCUUCCCAUCACUGUCACAAGUUAAGUCCGAUAAUAUUCCCCUCACUGCAGGCUUUUCAUCUAAGCGGUGAAUUGGAACAAUCGGAAACAAUUGACCAAAGGCCCAAAAAUCAGGAAUUGAAGUGAAAAUUGACAGAUUCACAUGGUAAGUGCGGACAGGAUCAGCAGCCCCCAUAGCCUUUGAUACAAAGUCACAGAUGCUAUCAACAGCAGCAAGAUGUUCAAUACCCAAGGACCCUUCUUUAAACUGCUCCACACAUCUCUGUUUCAACUGAUCAGAGUAAAGUACACAUGUCUCAUACUCUCCACGAACUGCAGCAGCAGAUAAAUUGCGGUAAUCAGCAAGGGCAUCUUCGUUGAGCGUCUCCGCCAUGGAUUGGAGGCCACCAGAAGACAGAUGUGAAGAAGAAACAUGAGUACUAGAAGCAGACACGGCUUCGAAAAUCAGAAUUGAGUGAUGAGAAACAAUUGCCCUGCCACUUUCGCUGCAGAUCACUGGGUGUUUCACACCCUUACGGUCGCAUACAUAUUGAACCGCCUGAACAACUGCGGAGGCAUAUUC